Zea mays is the source of this 2774-nucleotide long non-coding RNA. RefSeq lists it as uncharacterized. The transcript is spliced from 2 exons. The record is from RefSeq and is a predicted model, not a curated record. NCBI's taxonomy places the organism in Eukaryota, Viridiplantae, Streptophyta, Magnoliopsida, Poales, Poaceae.
CGAUGGAGGACGACCAGUUCACGACGGCGCAGAUGGGCCCGCGAUUUCGGCCGAUGUGGAGGAAGGAGGCCAUGUUGGCGCUGGACUCUAGGUUCACAAGCAUGAUGACGGACCAAAGAAGCUCGAGAACUCCAUGCUGCAUUGCUAUCUCAACCAAGAGGACUUGGUGGAGGAAGGAAAGGAGGAAGAGAAGAAGGAGAAACCGAGUAACAUGUUUGUCCUGAUCACCAUAAAAAAACAGGUUUGUCCUGAUCAUUCAACUCCUCCAUCUGUUUCUCAAAAAUCUUUACUACGCCUGCCUAAGAUUGUAGAAGAUUUGCCAAUGUAAGUUUCUGAUUUGGCUCAAAGAUGUUGAGCUACUUUUCUUAUUUCUAGAAGUCCUUGAGAAUCAUGUCUGGUCACUCAUCCUCUCGUAUAAAGCCCGACAUCAACUGAAUCGGCUGAAUCAGUUGUUGUAUUUCCGUUAUCUGAUUAAUCAAAACAAGGAAUGCCCCGUCUCUCAAAAAAGGCUUACCAUGGAUCAAAUAAGACGUGUGAAUUGUAACUCUAACCUCUCGAAUGUAUACCAUCUAUAAUGAACAUAUAUGUUGGAUAAAUUGUUUUGCAUAAUUGCAUUCCCUUAUUUGCUCCAUAUUUGGAUCUCUUUUAUUAACUGUAAGGUUGACGAUAUGGGUUGUUUUUUUCUAAUUGCAGUGGUGGAUAAUUUAUAGUAGUAGGUAUGUAGGGGUAUUUUUAGAUUAGUUUUUUAGUGAUAGUGGUGGGUUAUUUUUAAUACAUGAUAUAGAUGGGGUUGUUUCAGGUUAGUUUUUUAUGAGUGCAAUAGUGGUUAAUAUGAUUUUGGGUGCUUCCAUUGUUGGCUAAGGAUUAAUAUUUCAUUUCAUAGUACAGUUAGUACCAGUGGCGUAGACAAGGCGGCUAGCAGCCCCCAAGAUUUUUUUUGCUUGUAUAUCUACGGUUAAAAUAAGAGGGUUAGUUUAUAAUAAGUUAAAAUUUAUUAUGUACUCAUUGCAUACAUGUGUUAAUUGUUAUGACUAGCGAUGAUAUAUUCUAUUUACUGGUAUUAUAUAUAAGGUUGGUCCUUCCUAAAGGGAAAUUUUGGUUAUGCCUCUUAUCAGUACAAUAGUGGUGGUGGUGGCUACAAUAGUUAGAUAGUUACAGGGUAUUUUAGGUUUUCUUAGAUAUUGGAAAUAGUAUGUAAUUUAUAAAUAAACAUCGAGGUGCUUUGGGUUAAGUUCUCAUAAUAGUGCUGGCAGUAUUAAAUUUUUUCAUAGAUUAAAAUCAGUGAUUUUGAUUGUUAAGGUUUCAUUUGCAGGCCAAUUCAGUUACUACGAUGUUUAUUCAUUCGGUAAAAAUGUACACAUCAUCGAUGUGUUUCAAUAUUAAUACUUCGUCGCAGCUCUAGCCUCCUACAUAGCAGUCAACCAGUAGACAUUUCUACUCGAAUGCUCCACAAUGGCCUCCUACAUCGGUAGAGAUGCAAGGUAUCAUUGACCAUGGUUGGACGGUGACAUUUUCAGGCAUGUUCUGCACAAAAACGCUAAUGAAGACGUACCAAUGGGAUUUUGGUUCAUCGGAUUGGACGUCGAUGAUCGCCGUCUUUGCUGCAGCAAGCCACCGGGUAUACCUGACGCCUUUGUGCUUGUUUGUUUAGCAUACUAGACUUAGUUGCUUCCAAGUUCCAACUCUGUCGGCGGUUGGUCUUUUGCAUGCAGCGUGCAUGAUCUGUUUGUAUGAAUUAUUUCGGGAAAUGAGACUAUUUCGGGUAGUUGAUGGUCACCUUGACACCUUCAGAGAGUAGGUGUGCCAUCAGCUGUCAGUACCAUGUGCUUGUCAACAUUGUUUGUGUUGGCCAUCUUCAUAGUCUGUCAUGACAUGAGACAUCUAAACUUUCCUUUUGAGUGUUACACCUAUGGCGUGAUUGAAUCUGAAGCUGCCAAUAGCCCCACCAAAAUGAAGAAACAUUUUACCCGAGAAUCAUAGUGGCAAAGACGCAUCAUGCGCAAGACCAGCGAAGCUGUCAGCUGAAACGGUUCCUUGCCUAACAUGCACUAGCUUCAAUUUGAUGUGAAUGGAUUAGAGUAAUUCCGGCCACAUUCUGUGGUCCGUUUGAGCUGAUUGUGCUUGGCAAACUCGUGCAGACUGUGAAUGGAAAGACGCAGGUAGGAACAUGUGUGUUGCAUCCUUCCACUGGAGUUGCAGUGGCAUCUGCAAAUCUGCUGAUUGGAUCGGGAAAGUCCAUCAACGCUGCGGUGGGAGUGAGAAUGCACUUUUGGGCUGUGAUUCUAUUGCAAUGACAUCUGUAACUGAUAAGAAAGCUAAGAUGGAGAGUUUAAUAUCUUCUGCGACCUUUGUGGAGGGUGGCAUUUAGGAGGCAUGUGGUGAUGCAUGGAACAUUUGCCUUGAGGUUUUCUAUGAGAGUGACCCUUCUGCAGUGAGUAGCCAUUUUGUUAGUUGAGCUAUUUUGCAUAUAAAUGUUAUUUCUGUAACCAAUUACUUAGAGUUCGAAGUGUUUUUCUUAUGCAGGUUUGGUGUAUCCUUCUCAGUGACAAAGUACCUUUUAAAAUGCACUGCCCUUUACACUCUGACAUGCAAGACAAUGAUAUAUGCAUUGGCUUAUUAUGUAUAGUGAGUCAUAUUUUGAUAGGUUUUUGGUACAGACUUAUUUAGUUAAAAACCUGUAGUGACGUCUGUUUGAUUUUUUACAAUAUGUACAAGAUUGGAAGAUCCUCUUUAUUUUUUUGUUCUUCUUUAUGAGUUGAUUGUCACAACAUAAA